Molecule: long non-coding RNA, 1083 nt
Filed under: Panax ginseng (ginseng)
Lineage: Eukaryota; Viridiplantae; Streptophyta; Magnoliopsida; Apiales; Araliaceae
Description: long non-coding RNA (PGIN_LNC006819)
Source: RNAcentral
UAAUAUGCAAGGGAGCUGCAAAAAAAAUUCAAAUUUAAGUACAAACAUAAUUCAUUUAAUGAAAAAACAUCUUGAGCAAACCGAAAUAAUCAGCUGUGCCUGAAGCUCAGUCUCAAUCUGUGCAAACCGAUCGAGCAAUGAGUUGUGCCUGAAGCUCAGUCUCAAUCUGCUGCAACUCUUCCCUCUAUUGCAAAACGAGUGCACAGUUCGCCUCGGAGGCUCAAUAUGGCAUGAAUCAGGACUCCUUGGCUCAGUUUGCUACAAAACGUUUCACAAAAACUAAAGAACAGUUUUUUAAUGGAAAAAAAACUACUCAAUCAUCUAUAAAGCAAGACCAGAUUUCUGUACAGUUCCGUUCAUGUUUCUACUCAGAGAUCCUACUACAGCAGUGAGGAAAUGAUCUUCGCAGACAAUCAUCUAGGAAACCAUUGGUUCAAUAUACAUGGCCUUCUGUUUAAAACAGUAAAAUUCAUAAAGGAACGGAAAAUAAAUAUAUAUAGUUAUGAACUAUAUAUCUGAUCGAAUAAUGACAAGCUUGAAUCUCGUACAUAAGCAACACAUAAGAGCUUUAUAGAACAUACCUUUCUUUAGUGUGUACUUGGGUUGAAUUUGAUUUACCACGGCUAAACUGAACUGUGCAUAUCUACACCACCCAUAUAGCAAAGUAGAAGAAUCUGCCACAUCUAAAUACAUGGACAAGUGGUCCACGUUGUUUCCCUUUGGAAAAAUAAGCACACACCUGCUCCACCCAAAAACUCAUCAUGCAGUUGGCAUAAUAAAAAGAGUAAGUGGCUCGCACAUAAGUUAAACCAAGUGAGUAACCAUUUAUAACCACCAACAACAAAAAUCUCUGAAUAAAGACUGCAACCGAGUAAUUGCUUUGGCCGCUAGCUUGUAUGAUUGCCGGGCCCCCGCAGCAGUCGUAGGGACUUCAUAAGGCUUUACAGGCUCAAAAUCAAUGAUCGAGGUUGUUGAUUUCCACCAACCACACUGGCAACACGCACUGAACUUGAGUAGUCAAAGGAAAUACCAGACCCUUCAAAAUCUGCAUGGAGCUUCGCAUCUACGGUGGUCUGUGCAAUC